Molecule: long non-coding RNA, 1066 nt
Organism: Tachyglossus aculeatus (Australian echidna)
Lineage: Eukaryota; Metazoa; Chordata; Mammalia; Monotremata; Tachyglossidae
Exons: 2
Source: RefSeq, a predicted model, not a curated record
GAGGGGGCUGUGCUGGGUGCCCAUCUCCCUUGCCAAAUGCCGGCACCAGCCCCCGCCCUUUCUUGAGCCACAGAAGGCACACCCAACCCGCUCACAGCCCCCGUGCAAGCCCGGCGACCUCUUCCCCAGGCCUAGUUUAGCUGCUAGCUCAAGGGGGCGUCUGGGCUCGAGUUUGGUACUUUAAGACUUUACCCACCUGUUGCACCCCCCGGGCAGGUCUAUGGGACAACGGUGUCCUCUCUGUGCCUCCCACCCAUUAGCUCCCCGCUUUUGGCCGUGCCCUAGGGCAGGCUCUCCACCCCGAGGUCACUGAAGGCCAGCUGCCCAAUGGGGCAGCUUAGAGUCCCUCCUUUAACCUCCGGGCAGGAUCAGGGAUGGUUACUGCCCACUGAGCCCAGUCAGUAUUAUUGCCUCGUGGACAUAGACUUUCCCCACACCCCCAGCCUUGCCAGCUGGGCCCAGACUCUGCUCGGGGCCCUUGAGAGGUCUGGGAGCAUCUGAGGGUGCUUCGCGCGUGUAGGGGCAAUGGACGAGCUGGCCCCCUCAACCCCCGCCAAGCAGCUGAGAUUUAGAGUGGAAGCUUCCCAUGGGGACGAGCCACUGCCAGCAGGACCCCAGUGAGAUGCAGCAUGGCAAUAAAAGGCCUUUGCCUGCACGGGGGGUGGCCACCCAGAGCCCUCUGCCAAGCUGUGGAGAGAAGGAAAUGUGAACUCGAUGAUGAUGAUGAUGGUAUUGAGAUCCGGGAGCAUCCGAGCCAUCACGGCCCCUGCCCGCAGACCAUCCGGGCCUGAGAGUCUUAGACCCGUGCACUCUCAGCUUCACCAUGAUGCCCCUGUCAUGGGCAGGCGUGCCGGCAUCCGUUCGUGCGAGUAGUGAGUAAUUUAUCGUGAAGGUAGCCAAGGUUUUUUUGUGUGUGCAUGUGUGUGUGCGCGUGUGCGUGUGUGAGAGCGCGUGUGGCUGGGGAAGUCCCUUCUUGUUUCAAAUGUUUAUUUAUGGCCCUUGGGUGAUCCUUGGGCACCCACACCGUGUAUUUAUCAUUAAACCCACGUCAGACUUUGCCAUGCCA